RNAcentral lists this ribosomal RNA (253 nucleotides) under uncultured bacterium. RNAcentral describes it as "partial 16S ribosomal RNA". It matches the Rfam family "Bacterial small subunit ribosomal RNA", at positions 524 to 776 of the family's 1533-position model. The record is from RNAcentral.
UACGGAGGGUGCGAGCGUUGUCCGGAAUCACUGGGCGUAAAGGGCGCGUAGGCGGCUCGGCAAGUAGGGGGUGAAAUCCUGCGGCUUAACCGCAGGGCUGCCUUCUAAACUGUCGAGCUCGAGCACGGUAGAGGCAGAUGGAAUUCCCGGUGUAGCGGUGGAAUGCGUAGAGAUCGGGAAGAACAUCAGUGGCGAAGGCGGUCUGCUGGGCCGUUGCUGACGCUGAGGCGCGACAGCGUGGGGAGCAAACAGG